This 72-nucleotide transfer RNA is filed under the name Ictidomys tridecemlineatus (thirteen-lined ground squirrel). RNAcentral describes it as "Spermophilus tridecemlineatus (thirteen-lined ground squirrel) tRNA". It matches the Rfam family "tRNA". Rfam says of the family: Transfer RNA (tRNA) molecules are approximately 80 nucleotides in length. Their secondary structure includes four short double-helical elements and three loops (D, anti-codon, and T loops). Further hydrogen bonds mediate the characteristic L-shaped molecular structure. tRNAs have two regions of fundamental functional importance: the anti-codon, which is responsible for specific mRNA codon recognition, and the 3' end, to which the tRNAs corresponding amino acid is attached (by aminoacyl-tRNA synthetases). tRNAs cope with the degeneracy of the genetic code in two manners: having more than one tRNA (with a specific anti-codon) for a particular amino acid; and 'wobble' base-pairing, i.e. permitting non-standard base-pairing at the 3rd anti-codon position. The record is from Rfam by way of RNAcentral. Lineage: Eukaryota; Metazoa; Chordata; Mammalia; Rodentia; Sciuridae.
UAGGAUAUAGCUCAGUGGUAGAGUACUUGCCUAGUAGGCACAAGGUCCUGGGUUCAAUUCCCAACACUGUAA